GUGUCAGCAGCCGCGGUAAUACAGAGGGUGCGAGCGUUGUCCGGAAUCACUGGGCGUAAAGGGCGCGUAGGCGGCCUGAUAAGUCGGGGGUGAAAUCCUGUGGCUUAACCACAGGGCUGCCUCCGAGACUGUCGGGCUCGAGCACAGUAGAGGCAGGUGGAAUUCCCGGUGUAGCGGUGGAAUGCGUAGAGAUCGGGAAGAACAUCGGUGGCGAAGGCGGCCUGCUGGGCUGUUGCUGACGCUGAGGCGCGACAGCGUGGGGAGCAAACAGGAUUAGAUACCCGGGUAGUCC
Molecule: ribosomal RNA, 292 nt
Filed under: uncultured bacterium
Lineage: Bacteria
Description: partial 16S ribosomal RNA
Rfam family: Bacterial small subunit ribosomal RNA
Source: RNAcentral